Molecule: long non-coding RNA, 562 nt
Organism: Coregonus clupeaformis (lake whitefish)
Lineage: Eukaryota; Metazoa; Chordata; Actinopteri; Salmoniformes; Salmonidae
Exons: 3
Source: RefSeq, a predicted model, not a curated record
UACAGACCAGUUACAACAACCUGACUGAAGAGAGAGACAAGCUACAGACUGAGAGAGAGAUUCUUAACAGGAGGCUUACCAAUCUCAAACAAACCUGUCCUGAAGGCUGGCAGAAGUUUGAAUCCAGUUGGUACUUCCUGUCUACCAAGACUAACACCUGGAAGGAGAGCAGAGAGGACUGUCUGGAGAGAGGAGCAGACCUGGUGAUCAUAAACAGUGAUAAGGAACAGACAUUUCUGUACAACCUCCAGAAGAGAGUCUGGAUUGGUCUGACUGACUCUGUUCAGGAGGGGACCUGGAAAUGGGUGGACGGCAGACCACUGUCCACAGGGUGAGAGAUGAUAACUAAUCUGUGAAUAAAGCUCCAUUCAACCUUUUUCUAUACAGGUUACUGUCAUUGAUGAUAGCAGUCAACAAAGUUAACUUUAAGAUGAAAAAUGCCUGUAUAUUAUUUAGGAUGGUGAUGUUCUAUCCAUGAUAUCUAACUGUUUUUAACCCUGUAGGGACUGGUAUUAACCACAAUAUCUUCUAACAGUGAUGUCUGACAGUUGUUUACCCUGUA